UACGAAGGGUGCAAGCGUUACUCGGAAUUACUGGCGUAAAGCGUGCGUAGGUGGUUGUUAAGUCUGAUGUGAAAGCCCUGGGCUCAACCUGGAAUGCAUUGAUACUGGCAGCUAGAGUGCGAUAGAGGAUGGCGAAAUUCCGGUGUAGCAGUGAAAAUGCGUAGAGAUCGGAGGAACAUCUGUGGCGAAGGCGGGACUCUGGCCGAGUACUGAACGCUG
Molecule: ribosomal RNA, 219 nt
Filed under: uncultured bacterium
Lineage: Bacteria
Description: partial 16S ribosomal RNA
Rfam family: Bacterial small subunit ribosomal RNA
Source: RNAcentral